This 34-nucleotide ribosomal RNA is filed under the name Bidens pilosa (bur-marigold). Its description in RNAcentral is "partial 26S ribosomal RNA". RNAcentral also lists the same sequence under 9 other names. Lineage: Eukaryota; Viridiplantae; Streptophyta; Magnoliopsida; Asterales; Asteraceae. The record is from RNAcentral.
CGCGACCCCAGGUCAGGCGGGACUACCCGCUGAG